GGUUAAGUGACUAAGCGUACACGGUGGAUGCCUUGGCAGUCAGAGGCGAUGAAAGACGUAGUAACUUGCGAUAAGCCCAGAUUAGGUAGUAACAACCAUUUGAGUCUGGGAUUUCUGAAUGGGGAAACCCACGUGCAUAAGCACGUAUCCUUACCUGAAUACAUAGGGUAAGGAGGCGAACCGGGGGAACUGAAACAUCUAAGUACCCCGAGGAAAAGAAAUCAACCGAGAUUCCGAAAGUAGCGGCGAGCGAAAUUGGACUAGCCCUUAAGCUUUACACGCGUUAGACGAACGGUCUGGAAAGUCCGACGAUACAGGGUGAUAGUCCCGUAGUUGACGACGUGUGUUCAGUGAAAUCGAGUAGGGCGGGACACGUGAUAUCCUGUCUGAAUAUGGGGGGACCAUCCUCCAAGGCUAAAUACUACUGACUGACCGAUAGUGAACCAGUACCGUGAGGGAAAGGCGAAAAGAACCCCUGUGAGGGGAGUGAAAUAGAACCUGAAACCGUGUACGUACAAGCAGUAGGAGCAGGCUUGUCCUGUGACUGCGUACCUUUUGUAUAAUGGGUCAGCGACUUAUAUUCAGUGGCAAGGUUAACCAUCUAGGGGAGCCGUAGGGAAACCGAGUCUUAACUGGGCGUUCAGUCUCUGGAUAUAGACCCGAAACCAGGUGAUCUAGCCAUGGGCAGGUUGAAGGUUGAGUAACAUCAACUGGAGGACCGAACCGACUAAUGUUGAAAAAUUAGCGGAUGACUUGUGGCUAGGGGUGAAAGGCCAAUCAAACCUGGAGAUAGCUGGUUCUCCCCGAAAGCUAUUUAGGUAGCGCCUCGGACGAAUACUACUGGGGGUAGAGCACUGUUAAGGCUAGGGGGUCAUCCCGACUUACCAACCCUUUGCAAACUCCGAAUACCAGUAAGUACUAUCCGGGAGACACACGGCGGGUGCUAACGUCCGUCGUGGAGAGGGAAACAACCCAGACCGCCAGCUAAGGUCCCAAAUUACUACUAAGUGGGAAACGAUGUGGGAAGGCUCAGACAGCCAGGAUGUUGGCUUAGAAGCAGCCAUCAUUUAAAGAAAGCGUAAUAGCUCACUGGUCGAGUCGGCCUGCGCGGAAGAUGUAACGGGGCUAAGUAGUAAACCGAAGCUGCGGCAAUGUGCUUUUGCACAUUGGGUAGGGGAGCGUUCUGUAAGCGGUUGAAGGUGUGUGGUAACGCAUGCUGGACGUAUCAGAAGUGCGAAUGCUGACAUGAGUAACGAUAAAGGGGGUGAAAAACCUCCUCGCCGGAAGACCAAGGGUUCCUGUCCAACGUUAAUCGGGGCAGGGUAAGUCGACCCCUAAGGCGAGGCCGAAAGGCGUAGUCGAUGGGAAACGGGUUAAUAUUCCCGUACUUCUUACAAUUGCGAUGGGGGGACGGAGAAGGCUAGGUGGGCCUGGCGACGGUUGUCCAGGUUCAAGUGCGUAGGCUUAAGAGUUAGGUAAAUCCGGCUCUUUCUAAGGCUGAGACACGACGUCGAGCACCUACGGGUGUGAAGUCAUUGAUGCCAUGCUUCCAGGAAAAGCCUCUAAGCUUCAGAUUGUAAGGAAUCGUACCCCAAACCGACACAGGUGGUCGGGUAGAGAAUACCAAGGCGCUUGAGAGAACUCGGGUGAAGGAACUAGGCAAAAUGGUACCGUAACUUCGGGAGAAGGUACGCUCUCGACGGUGAAGUCCCUCGCGGAUGGAGCUAUUGAGAGUCGCAGAUACCAGGUGGCUGCAACUGUUUAUUAAAAACACAGCACUGUGCAAAAUCGUAAGAUGACGUAUACGGUGUGACGCCUGCCCGGUGCCGGAAGGUUAAUUGAUGGGGUUAGACUUCGGUCGAAGCUCUUGAUCGAAGCCCCGGUAAACGGCGGCCGUAACUAUAACGGUCCUAAGGUAGCGAAAUUCCUUGUCGGGUAAGUUCCGACCUGCACGAAUGGCGUAAUGAUGGCCACGCUGUCUCCACCCGAGACUCAGUGAAAUUGAAAUCGCUGUGAAGAUGCAGUGUACCCGCGGCUAGACGGAAAGACCCCGUGAACCUUUACUACAGCUUGGCACUGAACAUUGACCCUACAUGUGUAGGAUAGGUGGGAGGCUUUGAAGCACGUACGCCAGUAUGUGUGGAGCCGUCCUUGAAAUACCACCCUUGUAGUGUUGAUGUUCUAACGUCGACCCCUAAUCGGGGUUGCGGACAGUGCCUGGUGGGUAGUUUGACUGGGGCGGUCUCCUCCCAAAGAGUAACGGAGGAGCACGAAGGUGGGCUAAUCACGGUUGGACAUCGUGAGGUUAGUGCAAUGGCAUAAGCCCGCUUGACUGCGAGAAUGACAAUUCGAGCAGGUGCGAAAGCAGGUCAUAGUGAUCCGGUGGUUCUGAAUGGAAGGGCCAUCGCUCAACGGAUAAAAGGUACUCCGGGGAUAACAGGCUGAUACCGCCCAAGAGUUCAUAUCGACGGCGGUGUUUGGCACCUCGAUGUCGGCUCAUCACAUCCUGGGGCUGAAGUCGGUCCCAAGGGUAUGGCUGUUCGCCAUUUAAAGUGGUACGCGAGCUGGGUUUAGAACGUCGUGAGACAGUUCGGUCCCUAUCUGCCGUGGGCGUUGGAAGAUUGAAGGGGGCUGCUCCUAGUACGAGAGGACCGGAGUGGACGAACCUCUGGUGUUCGGGUUGUGUCGCCAGACGCAUUGCCCGGUAGCUAAGUUCGGAAUCGAUAACCGCUGAAAGCAUCUAAGCGGGAAGCGAGCCCUGAGAUGAGUCUUCCCUGAUACUUUAAGUAUCCUAAAGGGUUGUCGGAGACUACGACGUUGAUAGGUCAGGUGUGUAAGUGCUGUGAGGCAUUGAGCUAACUGAUACUAAUUGCCCGUGAGGCUUAACCAU
This 2890-nucleotide ribosomal RNA is filed under the name Vibrio parahaemolyticus. Its description in RNAcentral is "23S ribosomal RNA". It matches the Rfam family "Bacterial large subunit ribosomal RNA". The record is from RNAcentral. Lineage: Bacteria; Pseudomonadati; Pseudomonadota; Gammaproteobacteria; Vibrionales; Vibrionaceae.